Non-coding RNA from Lasiosphaeria miniovina, 106 nucleotides. Lineage: Eukaryota; Fungi; Ascomycota; Sordariomycetes; Sordariales; Lasiosphaeriaceae. The record is from the annotation of a RefSeq genome assembly.
GGCAAGAUGGCCGAGCGGUCUAAGGCGCCACGUUAAGGAAUCCCAAACCCUUAAUCUCAGGUAUCCGUGGUCCGAAAGGGCGUGGGUUCGAAUCCCACUCUUGUCA